RNAcentral lists this ribosomal RNA (425 nucleotides) under uncultured bacterium. RNAcentral's name for it is "partial 16S ribosomal RNA". It matches the Rfam family "Bacterial small subunit ribosomal RNA", at positions 354 to 796 of the family's 1533-position model. The record is from RNAcentral.
GUGGGGAAUCUUAGACAAUGGGGGAAACCCUGAUCUAGCCAUGCCGCGUGAGCGAUGAAGGCCUUAGGGUUGUAAAGCUCUUUCAGCUGGGAAGAUAAUGACGGUACCAGCAGAAGAAGCCCCGGCUAACUCCGUGCCAGCAGCCGCGGUAAUACGGAGGGGGCUAGCGUUGUUCGGAAUUACUGGGCUUAAAGAGCGCGUAGGCGGACCAGAAAGUUGGAGGUGACAUCCCAGGGCUCAACCUUGGAACUGCCUUCAAAACUCCUGGUCUGGAGUUCGAGAGAGGUGAGUGGAAUUCCGGGUGUAGAGGUGAAAGUCGUAGAUAUUCGGAGGAACACCAGUGGCGAAGGCGGCUCACUGGCUCGAUACUGACGCUGAGGUGCGAAAGCGUGGGGAGCAAACAGGAUUAGAAACCCGAGUAGUCC